AUUUUCGCCUCCUGGCUGGGGAAAAAUUACAUUUGAGGUGUCUGGUAUUCUCUGAAUUUUUUCUAUUUGCUUCAGAUGAGGCCCCAAUACUUGAAUGCCUGAAGCCUGUGGGAGUUUUUCUAGCAGCUUAAAUAGACACAGGACUAGAUUCCAAGGGACUAAAGGCUUUAGUGAGAUGCAGCUGUUACAGGCACUGAACAGAACUUGGCAGGGAGAGGGGCAAAGUGGCUGAAAGUCACCUUUGUGUCCUACUGAUCCUCAGCACCUUCAAGGGCUGAAGAGGCCCGACAGGCCCUGUGGACUUAUCUAAGUUACGGCAGCCUCCUGAGGCUGCCUCAUGAACCACCACUGCCCGGAAUCUCUGCCAUGCAGUAUGUUGUGGCCCCAUCCCUGAAAUGCCCUUCACUCCCCAAGGCUCACCUGGGGCAUAUAUCAUAUUUUGCAGGGUCCAGAGGAGGCAGCCUUACAUUUGUCUUCUUCAGUACACUGAAUCCUCCACCAACCACACAUGGGGCUUUCAGAGCUCCUUUCCCUGACUUUCUCUCUCUCAUUAUCUAUAUUAUAAUCCAUUUCUCUGAGCCAUUAAGUCCUUCAUUUUAACUUGUAUUGAAUUUAAUAAAUAAAAUUUGCACUAUGAUUUUUUAACUGUUAUAUAUUCCAAGACAUUUGCAGCUACCGUUAUAUGGUAACUGUAACACCAGAUUGCUCUCUUUAAAGACUUAAAGAUGGAAAGAAAAAUCCUCAGUACUCCUUGGGGAAAGUAUCUACAUACAAUGUUUUCUAAACAGGUGUUUUCUUCUAAAUGUGCGAACUUCUAUGCUAAGAUUUUCCCCCACUCCUCAGACUGUUUCAGGAAAUACAUUUUUAUGGUACCAGGAUCAGCACGCCAAGGGAAGAGACAUACAGAAAUGGUGCUUGCAGCAUCUAAAAAAGAGAGCACAGUAAGAAGUCACUGAAGUCACCGGAAGUGCGCACACUAAACCAAAGCAGAUUUGGUUCAGAAUAAGCAAUAUGCAUAGGAUCAUAUUCUAGAUGAAUCUGCAGUGCUCCCACUGACUUUAUAGGGAACUGUAUGCCUGCGUCCAAAACUCGACUCUCCGAGGGUUAACAGAAUCUCCUUGUUUGCUCAGUUAUCUCUCUCCAGUAUAAACUCAGGAAUAUACUUUGAGUAACCUUGUACACACUACAUUUCUUGGAGCUUGUCUUCACUGAAGAGUUUGUCUUCACUCCAAUUUAAUUUAAAUAUUAAAAUAAAAAGUUAAACUAAAAGCUUUUCCUUGUGAAUCUUAUGCCAGGUUUAAUAUUGGUUACAUAGGUUUCACAAUCCAUAAGGUAAAGAUCUAAUGUUUGUAGUCUUAACCAAAUAUGUAGGAAGUAAUCCUUACUCACAUGUUGCUUCCAACCCAGCACCCGACCAAACACAAAAUUGCUUCAGUCACAUUUGCUGGUGCUUACUAUUUAGGUCUACUGGCUUGUUUGGGGCUGCAGACUAAUCCCAGACAUGGUAAGUGCCCACUUUCCAGUGAGGACAUAGGUUAAACCACUGUAGUGGUAACAGUCCUACAGUGCCUUCCCACAAUUAUCCCCACAUGUCUGUCCUUCUGGACAAGUUUUCUCACAAUUCACCAGGAAAAAAAUCCUAGAGCAGAUCAUCUUACUACAGAACAAAAAAUCUGCCCUCAAGUGGCCUAGGUAUACAUACAUAUACCAUUCACUGGAAUAAAUUGCCCAGGGAGGUUGUGGAAUCCCCAGCUCUGGAGAUAUUUAAGAGUAGGUUAGAUAAAUGUCUAUCAGGGAUGAUCUAGACAGUAUUUGGUCCUGCCAUGAGGGCAGGGGACUGGACUUGAUGACCUCUCGAGGUCCCUUCCAGUCCUACUAUUCUAUGAUAUUAGCAUAGCACCUGCGAGGAUAGUAGUAACUCAAAUAUGGCUUUGUUGUGUGGCUGCUCAUACCUGACCUAGAUAAACCUUAUAUAAUUCUGCAAUGAAAAUUUACCUAAUGACGCAAUUAUGGAACAACUGUAGCUAGACCAUGAAGGGAUUUCUGUCCCACUGUGGUUUCCUUUUUUAAAUAUGUUUUUUAAUUAAAUGGGUUUAACAUUAGUAGCUGAAUGAGAAUUAGCUAUAUAUCCACCCACUCUCAUUUCUUUCCCCCCAUUCAGUCGUCAGAGAGCUGUCAAACUGGUUGAAGGCCAGGAAAAGAAUAUGGAUGCUCUCCCAGUCCUACUCUCCAAAAUAAAGACUGUCUCACUAGAAAAUUGUUAUACACUUUUCUACACCAGCAUUAUAAAAGGUGGAAGCUUUACCAACACCACAGAACAGGCAUUUUUACCUCUGCAUCAGUUAACACUGUUUCAAUGUCACAGUGUUAAAAAGGUCUGCAACCUGCUUUCACUAUAGCUGACUGAUGGCACCGGUGCUGAAAACUGGAUAUAAAAGUUCCGAAUGCAGAUGAAUGCGAAGGAGGAAGUGCCCUGUUGGAGUAAAAGGAUAUGCUAGAACCAGCACUUUCACCAUCCCACCUGGUGAAUCCCUAGCUAUUCCCAUGGAGGCGGAGUUGGAAGGUGACUCCUGACUAUACUACUGCAGACCUCAGAACUGCUGCCCCUACUGCGGCAUCCCCUCUAGCCAGCUGCGUGAUCGCAUAAUGCUCUGCAAAUGAGUGCACCGACAACCACGUAGCUGUCCUACAGAUUUCUACUAUUAGCGCACGUGCCAGGAACGCUGCCAAGGCCGCCUGUGCUCUUGUGGAGUGAGCAGUUAAUGGUGGCGCUGGUUUGCCCGCACCCUCGUAGAACUCCUGGAUACAAGAUGUGAUCCACGAGGAGAUGUACUGCGCGGAGACUGGCAAUCCCUUCAUUCUUUCUGCUAUCGAAAUAAACAGCUGUGGUAACUUACGGAAUUCCCCCGUCCUGUCUAUGUAAAAGGCCAAUGUCCUCCUGACAUCCAAGCAGUGCAGGGUCUGUUCCUUGGGCAUGGAGUAUGGUUUGGGAUAAAAGACCAGUAGGUAAAUGUCUUAAGAGAGAUGGAAAUGCGAGACCACUUUGGGAAGGAACCCCGGGUGAGGACUCAUUCUCACCUUAUCUUUAAAGAAGACCAUGGAAGGGGGCUCUGAAGUCAACUCUCUAAGUUCGGACACCUUCCUCAAUGAGGUAAUAGUGUUGCAAAGAGGUCUAGAUGGGGAUACCCCAAUCUCUGGAAGACCCCCUGCAGUAUGUCUUGUCUUAUAGUCCACUCGUGUUCCUGAAUGGAGCAACUGAGCCUGUCUGCCAACCCAUUCCUGGACCCCGGCAGGUACGACACCUCCAGGUGAAUACUGAGAGAGAGAGAUAUCUCCUACAGCUCUAGGGCUUCCUGGCACAGGGAAGAGGAACGCGCCCCCCAUUGCUUGUUGAUAUAAUACAUGGAAGUUGUGUUGUCUGUCAGUACCGCAACCACCUUGUCUUCCAGCUGGGGGAGGAACGCCUUGCAUGCCUGCUUGACUGCCCUGAGUUCCUUGACAUUUAUAUGAAGGGGCAUUUCCCCUGGUAAUCACGUACCUUGAGUCCUGAGGCCUCCCAGGUGCGCCCCCCAUCCCGUGUCUGACGCAUCUGUGACCAGCACACUGAUGGGGACUGCCUGACAAAUGGAACUCCCGCACACAUUGUGCUCUCGUCCUUCCACCGGUCUAGAGAGCAGAGUAUUCUUUCUGGUAUGGUGACCACCACAUCCAGAGGCAACCGCAUAGGGUUGUGCACUGCCUUGAGCCACCCCGUAGCGGUCACAUGUGUAACCUGGCAUACCGAACCACAUAAGUGCACACUACCAUAUGGUCAAGGAGCCUCAUACAGGUUCUUGUUGUAGUGGUGGGAAAUCUCUGCAGGUCUGUUAUCAAUGAGCAUAGUGUGAGAAACCUGUCUCUUGGCAGGGAGGCCCUCUCUGCUGAUGAGUUCAAGCAAGCUCCCGCAAACUCUAUUACUUGAAUGGGGCUUGGUGAGGAUUUGACAUUGUUUACAAGAAGGCCGAGGCUCCCAAAUAGUGCCUUUGACCUUCCGACUUGGUCUGCCACUUGUUCUCGAGAUGUGCCCCUUAUCAACCAGUUGUCUAGAUAUGGGAAUACUUGAGUUCUGUGGUGUCUCAUGAAUGGCACUACUACUGUUACGCACUUGGUGAACACCCUUGGGGCUAUACAUAAGCCAAAUAGGAGGACCGUAAACUGGAAGUGGUCCUGCCCAGCUACAAAUCUGAGGAAUUUACUGUGUACUGGGGACACCAAAAUGUGGAAGUAGGCAUUUUUCAGAUCAAGAGCAGAGUACCAGUCUCCCUUCUGGAGAAAUGGGAUGA
Molecule: non-coding RNA, 4322 nt
Organism: Pelodiscus sinensis (Chinese soft-shelled turtle)
Lineage: Eukaryota; Metazoa; Chordata; Testudines; Trionychidae
Source: RefSeq, a predicted model, not a curated record